UGUUUACAUUGUUCGAAUGCUUCAAGUGC
This 29-nucleotide small RNA is filed under the name Bombyx mori (domestic silkworm). RNAcentral describes it as "ovarian small RNA-9230". Lineage: Eukaryota; Metazoa; Arthropoda; Insecta; Lepidoptera; Bombycidae. The record is from RNAcentral.